RNAcentral lists this ribosomal RNA (253 nucleotides) under uncultured bacterium. Its description in RNAcentral is "partial 16S ribosomal RNA". It matches the Rfam family "Archaeal small subunit ribosomal RNA", at positions 474 to 727 of the family's 1478-position model. The record is from RNAcentral.
UACCAGCACCCCGAGUGGUCGGGACGUUUAUUGGGCCUAAAGCAUCCGUAGCCGGUUCUACAAGUCUUCCGUCAAAUCCACCUGCUUAACAGAUGGGCUGCGGAAGAUACUAUAGAGCUAGGAGGCGGGAGAGGCAAGCGGUACUCGAUGGGUAGGGGUAAAAUCCGUUGAUCCAUUGAAGACCACCAGUGGCGAAGGCGGCUUGCCAGAACGCGCUCGACGGUGAGGGAUGAAAGCUGGGGGAGCAAGCCGG